Molecule: small RNA, 117 nt
Filed under: Dokdonella koreensis
Lineage: Bacteria; Pseudomonadati; Pseudomonadota; Gammaproteobacteria; Lysobacterales; Rhodanobacteraceae
Description: Manganese sequence
Rfam family: Manganese Mn2+ riboswitch aptamer (yybP-ykoY)
About the family: This RNA was originally discovered in E. coli during a large scale screen and was named SraF. The family was later found to exist upstream of related families of protein genes in many bacteria, including the the yybP and ykoK genes in B. subtilis.
Source: RNAcentral
CCGCGUCCCUUUGGGGAGUAGCCUGCAUCCCGCGGUCCCUGGGAUGCGCCCGCAUCAACACACUCGGCCUACAGCCGUGGUGCGGGCAGCCGAAUCCGGUUGGCGAGACCAACGGCC